GACGAACGCUGGCGGCGUGCUUAACACAUGCAAGUCGAACGGAAAGGCCCUGCUUUUGUGGGGUGCUCGAGUGGCGAACGGGUGAGUAACACGUGAGUAACCUGCCCUUGACUUUGGGAUAACUUCAGGAAACUGGGGCUAAUACCGGAUAGGAGCUCCUGCUGCAUGGUGGGGGUUGGAAAGUUUCGGCGGUUGGGGAUGGACUCGCGGCUUAUCAGCUUGUUGGUGGGGUAGUGGCUUACCAAGGCUUUGACGGGUAGCCGGCCUGAGAGGGUGACCGGCCACAUUGGGACUGAGAUACGGCCCAGACUCCUACGGGAGGCAGCAGUGGGGAAUAUUGCACAAUGGGCGGAAGCCUGAUGCAGCAACGCCGCGUGCGGGAUGACGGCCUUCGGGUUGUAAACCGCUUUCGCCUGUGACGAAGCGUGAGUGACGGUAAUGGGUAAAGAAGCACCGGCUAACUACGUGCCAGCAGCCGCGGUGAUACGUUAGGGUGCGAGCGUUGUCCGGAUUUUAUUGGGCGUAAAGGGCUCGUAAGGGGUUGAUCGCGUCGGAAGUGUAAUCUUGGGGCUUAACCCUGAGCGUGCUUUCGAUACGGGUUGACUUGAGGAAGGUAGGGGGAGAAUGGAAUUCCUGGUGGAGCGGUGGAAUGCGCAGAUAUCAGGAGGAACACCAGUGGCGAAGGCGGUUCUCUGGGCCUUUCCUGACGCUGAGGAGCGAAAGCGUGGGGAGCGAACAGGCUUAGAUACCCUGGUAGUCCACGCUGUAAACGGUGGGUACUAGGUGUGGGGUCCAUUCCACGGGUUCCGUGCCGUAGCUAACGCUUUAAGUACCCCGCCUGGGGAGUACGGCCGCAAGGCUAAAACUCAAAGGAAUUGACGGGGCCCCGCACAAGCGGCGGAGCAUGCGGAUUAAUUCGAUGCAACGCGUAGAACCUUACCUGGGUUUGACAUGGAUCGGGAGUACUCAGAGAUGGGUGUGCCUCUUUUGGGGUCGGUUCACAGGUGGUGCAUGGCUGUCGUCAGCUCGUGUCGUGAGAUGUUGGGUUAAGUCCCGCAACGAGCGCAACCCUUGUUCACUGUUGCCAGCACGUUAUGGUGGGGACUCAGUGGAGACCGCCGGGGUCAACUCGGAGGAAGGUGGGGAUGACGUCAAGUCAUCAUGCCCCUUAUGUCCAGGGCUUCACGCAUGCUACAAUGGCUGGUACAGAGAGUGGCGAGCCUGUGAGGGUGAGCGAAUCUCGGAAAGCCGGUCUCAGUUCGGAUUGGGGUCUGCAACUCGACCUCAUGAAGUCGGAGUCGCUAGUAAUCGCAGAUCAGCAACGCUGCGGUGAAUACGUUCCCGGGGCU
RNAcentral lists this ribosomal RNA (1349 nucleotides) under uncultured bacterium. RNAcentral's name for it is "bacterial SSU rRNA". It matches the Rfam family "Bacterial small subunit ribosomal RNA", at positions 28 to 1381 of the family's 1533-position model. The record is from RNAcentral.